CCUACGGGAGGCAGCAGUGGGGAAUAUUGGGCAAUGGGCGCAAGCCUGACCCAGCAACGCCGCGUGAAGGAAGAAGGCUUUCGGGUUGUAAACUUCUUUUCUCAGGGACGAAGCAAGUGACGGUACCUGAGGAAUAAGCCACGGCUAACUACGUGCCAGCCGCCGCGGUAAUACGUAGGUGGCAAGCGUUAUCCGGAUUUACUGGGUGUAAGGGGGGUGUGGGCGGGAGUGCACGUCAGAUGUGAAAACCACGGGCCAAACGUGUGAACUGCAUUUGAAACUGUAGUUCUUGAGUACUGGAGAGGAAGACGGAAUGCCUAGGGUAGCGGUGAAAUGCGUAGAUAUUAGGAAGAACACCAGUGGCGAAGGCGGUCUGCUGGACAGCAACUGACGCUGAGGCGCGAAAGCGUGGGGAGCGAACAGGAUUAGAUACCCGAGUAGUC
RNAcentral lists this ribosomal RNA (443 nucleotides) under uncultured bacterium. RNAcentral describes it as "partial 16S ribosomal RNA". It matches the Rfam family "Bacterial small subunit ribosomal RNA", at positions 338 to 795 of the family's 1533-position model. The record is from RNAcentral.